ACGUGCAUUUCUAGACAUCUUUGAAAAGGGAGUCAGGUUAGUGCAGUGUUCCUUCAUCCUGAUCCUGGGGAAUCAAAGGGGGCGGGGAGGAAGAGAGCCAGUGUGAAGCAGCAGAGUCUCAGCAGCAACCUCUUCAUCCUGGAAAGAGCGGACCAAUCAGGACAGCCAUAUUUCAGUCCCGCCCCUCAGGUCCAGGAAGUAUGUCAGGAGGUGGAUGAGUUCAUCUAUGUGGCCAAUGCAGAGACGGGAAGAGGUAACACCAAGACUCCAACACAUUCCUCAUACUUGCUCCUAUUCCUAGGCCCUUGUUGCCAGCCAGAUAAUCUUGUCAAGCUAUCGCAACAUCAGGCUGGUUCCACCAGGCUACCUUCCAGGACCAGAUCCAGGGAAAGAUCAGGCUCGUUCCACCAGGCUACCUUCCAGGACCAAAUCCAGUGAAAGGUGGUGAGGGGGACAGAUCCAGGCAUUGGUGGACCCUGCCUAGUGUUCAUCCUCCAGAACCCUCCUUGUCCUGACUUUUGUGUCCAGAGAGGAACCAGACUCAAUCAGAACCACUAGUCCCAGUACUGCUAGAUUAAAGACCAGGACCCCCAGUGUGGAUAUUGCACAGAGGCUCUGCCUGUGCCUGCUGCCCAACCCCUGGAUUGUCUGUCUGUCUGUGUAGUGUCUGUCUGUCUGUGUAGUGUCUGUCUGUUUAUGUAGUUUAUGUAGUGUCUGUCUGUCUGUGUAGUUUAUGUAGUGUCUGUCUGUGUAGUGUCUGUCUGUGUAGUGUCUGUCUGUCUAUGUAGUGUCUGUCUGUCUGUCUAUGUAGUAUCUGUCUGUGUAGUGUCUGUCUGUCCUGUCUGUCUAUGGUCUAUGUAGUCUGUCUGUCUGCUAGGGUGCUCUGGUCUCAGGCUGUAGCUAUCUGUCUAAGGAACUACCUUCAGCACAAAUGCUUCUGAAGGAAUGUUCUACCUCUGAUGUGCCUUGUUUAAAUGAAUCGCAAAAUAAAAAGUCAUUAUUGGGUAAAUAUUAUUUAAUAACCCUGUAGUAAUUUUUUUGUGAAUAAGUAGUGGGUUGUGAAACAAAACAGAAGUGAAGAGAAC
Long non-coding RNA from Oncorhynchus tshawytscha (Chinook salmon), 1085 nucleotides. The record is from Ensembl. NCBI's taxonomy places the organism in Eukaryota, Metazoa, Chordata, Actinopteri, Salmoniformes, Salmonidae.